UACGGAGGGUGCAAGCGUUAUCCGGAAUUACUGGGCGUAAAGGGUGCGUAGGCGGCUCCUUAAGUGAGGUGUGAAAUCCCUGGGCUCAACCCAGGAACUGCACUUCAAACUGGGGAGCUAGAGUGCAGGAGAGGAAAGCGGAAUUCCCGGUGUAGCGGUGAAAUGCGUAGAGAUCGGGAGGAACACCAGUGGCGAAGGCGGCUUUCUGGACUGUAACUGACGCUGAGGCACGAAAGCGUGGGGAGCAAACAGG
Molecule: ribosomal RNA, 253 nt
Filed under: uncultured bacterium
Lineage: Bacteria
Description: partial 16S ribosomal RNA
Rfam family: Bacterial small subunit ribosomal RNA
Source: RNAcentral